This 465-nucleotide ribosomal RNA is filed under the name uncultured bacterium. Its description in RNAcentral is "bacterial SSU rRNA". It matches the Rfam family "Bacterial small subunit ribosomal RNA", at positions 330 to 793 of the family's 1533-position model. The record is from RNAcentral.
GCCAGACUCCUACGGGAGGCAGCAGUGAGGAAUAUUGGUCAAUGGGAGGAAUCCUGAACCAGCCAUGCCGCGUGCAGGACGACGGCUCUACGAGUUGUAAACUGCUUUUGUACCGGGGUAAAAUGCCUUACGAGUAGGGUUUUGAAAGUACGGUACGAAUAAGGAUCGGCUAACUCCGUGCCAGCAGCCGCGGUAAUACGGAGGAUCCGAGCGUUAUCCGGAUUCAUUGGGUUUAAAGGGUGCGCAGGCGGAAUGUCAAGUCAGCGGUAAAAUUUCGGGGCUCAACCCCGUCGUGCCGUUGAAACUGGCGUUCUUGAGUGAGCGAGAAGUAUGCGGAAUGCGUGGUGUAGCGGUGAAAUGCAUAGAUAUCACGCAGAACUCCGAUUGCGAAGGCAGCAUACCGGCGCUCAACUGACGCUCAUGCACGAAAGCGUGGGUAUCGAACAGGAUUAGAUACCCGGGUAC